ACUCCUACGGGAGGCAGCAGUGGGGAAUCUUGGACAAUGGGGGCAACCCUGAUCCAGCCAUGCCGCGUGAGUGAAGAAGGCCUUAGGGUCGUAAAGCUCUUUCGCCUGUGAAGAUAAUGACGGUAGCAGGUAAAGAAACCCGGCUAACUCCGUGCCAGCAGCCGCGGUAAUACGGAGGGGGUUAGCGUUGUUCGGAAUUACUGGGGCGUAAAGCGCGCGUAGGCGGACCAGAAAGUUGGGGGUGAAAUCCCGGGGCUCAACCCCGGAACUGCCUCCAAAACUCCUGGUCUUGAGUUCGAGAGAGGUGAGUGGAAUUCCGAGUGUAGAGGUGAAAUUCGUAGAUAUUCGGAGGAACACCAGUGGCGAAGGCGGCUCACUGGCUCGAUACUGACGCUGAGGUGCGAAAGUGUGGGGAGCAAACAGGAUUAGAUACCCUGGUAGGACAGUG
This 448-nucleotide ribosomal RNA is filed under the name uncultured bacterium. Its description in RNAcentral is "bacterial SSU rRNA". It matches the Rfam family "Bacterial small subunit ribosomal RNA", at positions 335 to 799 of the family's 1533-position model. The record is from RNAcentral.